Molecule: long non-coding RNA, 348 nt
Organism: Cryptomeria japonica (Japanese cedar)
Lineage: Eukaryota; Viridiplantae; Streptophyta; Pinopsida; Cupressales; Cupressaceae
Exons: 3
Source: RefSeq, a predicted model, not a curated record
AGAAUACAGACACUGUAACUUGAGUUUUAUGGUAUGGAAAAGAAUAUGGCGGUUGAUGGACAAACUCACAUGUUAACAAGUCCAACGAUGAAUUGGCAGAAGGCAUAGCUGGACAUUUCCUUAAUCCAAAUAUAAAAACUCCAAUAACUGUAGGCAUUAUUGUGGAUGUAGUGAGGGAGUGACCAGUCACAUGGAAAAGAUAAAAGAAUAUCUGCUCCUCAGAGCUACUCAAGCCGCCUUUCCCACAGAAUUCGAUGGAAAAAAGAUACAGACCUCAGUGAAAAGGGUAAAAGAAUCAAUAAAGGAGUUGAGAAUUUAUUGGCCAGAGAAAAACAAGGCCAUGUUUGA